CCUACGGGCGGCAGCAGUGAGGAAUAUUGGUCAAUGGCCGGGAGUCUGAACCAGCCAAGUCGCGUGAGGGAAGACGGCCCUACGGGUUGUAAACCUCUUUUGUCAGGGAGCAAGGUGCAGGUCGGGACCUGCUUUGAGAGUACCUGAAGAAAAAGCAUCGGCUAACUCCGGGCCAGCAGACGCGGUAAUACGGAGGAUGCGAGCGUUAUCCGGAGUUAUUGGGUUUAAAGGGUGCGCAGGCGGAGGCACAAGUCAGCGGUAAAAUCGCGGGGCUCAACCCCGCUCCGCCGUUGAAACUGUGUCCCUUGAGUGCGCGAAGGGUAGGCGGAAUGCGUGGUGUAGCGGUGAAAUGCAUAGAUAUCACGCAGAACUCCGAUCGCGAAGGCAGCCUACCGGCGCGCAACUGACGCUCAUGCACGAAAGCGUGGGUAUCGAACAGGAUUAGAUACCCGUGUAGUC
This 459-nucleotide ribosomal RNA is filed under the name uncultured bacterium. RNAcentral describes it as "partial 16S ribosomal RNA". It matches the Rfam family "Bacterial small subunit ribosomal RNA", at positions 338 to 795 of the family's 1533-position model. The record is from RNAcentral.